This 400-nucleotide ribosomal RNA is filed under the name uncultured bacterium. RNAcentral describes it as "bacterial SSU rRNA". It matches the Rfam family "Bacterial small subunit ribosomal RNA", at positions 355 to 772 of the family's 1533-position model. The record is from RNAcentral.
UGGGGAAUAUUGGACAAUGGGCGCAAGCCUGAUCCAGCAAUGCCGCGUGUGUGAAGAAGGUCUUCGGAUUGUAAAGCACUUUCGGCGGGGACGAUGAUGACGGUACCCGCAGAAGAAGCCCCGGCUAACUUCGUGCCAGCAGCCGCGGUAAUACGAAGGGGGCUAGCGUUGCUCGGAAUUACUGGGCGUAAAGGGCGCGUAGGCGGCGCAGAUAGUCAGGCGUGAAAUUCCUGGGCUUAACCUGGGGGCUGCGCUUGAUACGUCUGUGCUAGAGGACGGAAGAGGGUCGUGGAAUUCCCAGUGUAGAGGUGAAAUUCGUAGAUAUUGGGAAGAACACCGGUGGCGAAGGCGGCGACCUGGUCCGUUACUGACGCUGAGGCGCGACAGCGUGGGGAGCAAA